Long non-coding RNA from Oreochromis aureus, 306 nucleotides. RefSeq lists it as uncharacterized. The transcript is spliced from 3 exons. Lineage: Eukaryota; Metazoa; Chordata; Actinopteri; Cichliformes; Cichlidae. The record is from RefSeq and is a predicted model, not a curated record.
GGUAUCAGUUUGAAAAGUGCCAACUUUUAUUGGCACGUUUCUGCUGAGAUCCGGAGCUCGACUCUCUGGCGCCCAGGAAUAAAAUGAGUUGCUGUGUUUUUCACGGAGAAAAACUAAUUAACAUGGAAUAACGUCAGUCUUCGAUGGAAAAAAAGAUGCAGGCAAAAGAGGACAGCAGAUUUCUUCAAACAAUGCCUGUCCUCACCUCUGCAGUGCUGCCGUCUCCUCUAACCUGGCAUGUUUCUAAGAUGCCUGUCCUCACCUCUGCAGUGCUGCUGUCGCCUAUAACACAGCAUGUUUCUAAGG